RNAcentral lists this small RNA (1586 nucleotides) under Pongo abelii (Sumatran orangutan). RNAcentral's name for it is "sense overlapping". Lineage: Eukaryota; Metazoa; Chordata; Mammalia; Primates; Hominidae. The record is from RNAcentral.
GGGAGCUGCUUUUUUCUGCCACAGUGUCAGUUGUCAUGCCCUAGCGGAGUGCCCGAGGGGAGGGGCAGGAGGCCCCUUGGAUGGGCUGGCACUGCGCCCCUGCUGCUGUCAGAGUGACUCAGAUCCCCUCCUGGCACCAGCCUGCUCAGGCAGUGCAAGCUGUUCCUUUGGCUCCUGGAGACUGGGCUGGUUCUUCACUUCUUUCUCCCCUAGGACUGAGGCCAGGGAGGAGGGGUGCAGAUUUCUGUGUUUCCACCCUUUUCUCUUCUCCCCGCACAGGGGUGCGAGAGGAGGAAGUGGAUGCUGCAGUGCUGGGCUCUGGGUUCAUUCCCUGUGAUUCCUCUGGGCUGCCCCGAGUCCUGCUCAGCACACACACAACAGGACACCAGGCGUGCUGGACAAAUGACCAGGCAGUGUGGUACUUGAAUGCAAGGGUUUCCUGAAAAGUUACCAUCAAAAACUGGGUCAGGUGGACAAAUGCAGAUGGAGCAUCAGCAGUGAUUUCCUCUGAGACUAAUGACAUGCCCUAAGAUUGUUCAGCACAGAGAGGACUUAAGCCACAGAAGGGAAAAGAAACGUUGAAAUCAGCCAAGGGAAGAAGCACAUAGGGUGGAGUCUAGGAAUAAUUCAAAAUGUGGAGAUCCAGCUGGGCACGGUGGCUCACACCUGUAAUCCCAGCACUUUGGGAGGCAGAGGUUGUGGCCACCCCGCUGCUGGCUAACUGCAGCUACUUCUGCCAGCCAGUGGACUAGAGAUGGAGCAAGCAUGGAAUGAGGGCAUCUUCCUGGAGACAGGUAGGCACUGUGGAAUCAGCAGUGCGUAGAACAGUGAGGAAUUAGGGCUGAACCCAGCCCAGGUGGGACAAGCCCUGGCACCAGCCGACUGCAGUCUGAUGGAACUUCCCCUUCCUGCCCAGCAGAUGGCGAGCGUGUGCUGCUGGUGCCUCUUUCCAAAGGAUGUUGAAUUGUUUGACAGGUGUUCUUUACUUUAUGAAUGAAACCAGAGCAGCCCACCUUCCUGCAUCUCUACCACCAUGGCACCAUGCCCUGUGAAGGGUGAGCUGGAGUCAAAUACGUAGCAGGCAGCCAGGGUCAGUUUGUGGCCACUGCUGCCUCCUCUUCCUAUGGUCUCCUCACUGAGUGCCCCUUCCCUGUUGGGUUCAACAUGUCUAUGCUCCUGUAAGCCCUCAGCCUCCUCGUUCUCUUCCUCAACUUCUACCACCAGACACACCUGAGAGGCAAGCAAGAGAGGCUAAACUAGGAGCAGGACCCAGGGACUGAAACCAGCACAGCAUCCCCACAGAGAAUUGGGUGGAAGGCAGCAUGGCUUCCAGCUUACUGGUGCCGAGCAGAUUCCCCUGGGUCUCCAUUGUAUCCUCUGAAGGAAGGAGGAGGAUUGCCUUCUGUCCAGAUCUCAGGAUCAAACAAAUAGGUCCAACUUCCUGUGCUCACUUCAGUUAGAGCACUUCUCAUGUGACUUUGUAGCUUUGUGUGCAUCUCCUUCCUCUACUAGACCUAAGCCCCUCACUGGAAGGACUCUCUUAUUCUUGAUGUUCCCCACAUCUGGAAUUUCAAUAAACAUCUCAA